This 663-nucleotide ribosomal RNA is filed under the name uncultured Pseudomonadota bacterium. RNAcentral's name for it is "bacterial SSU rRNA". It matches the Rfam family "Bacterial small subunit ribosomal RNA", at positions 63 to 716 of the family's 1533-position model. The record is from RNAcentral. Lineage: Bacteria; Pseudomonadati; Pseudomonadota.
CGAACGGUAACAGGAAACAGCUUGCUGUUUCGCUGACGAGUGGCGGACGGGUGAGUAAUGUCUGGGAAACUGCCUGAUGGAGGGGGAUAACUACUGGAAACGGUAGCUAAUACCGCAUAACGUCGCAAGACCAAAGAGGGGGACCCUCGGGCCUCUUGCCAUCGGAUGUGCCCAGAUGGGAUUAGCUUGUUGGUGGGGUAACGGCUCACCAAGGCGACGAUCCCUAGCUGGUCUGAGAGGAUGACAGCCACACUGGAACUGAGACACGGUCCAGACUCCUACGGGAGGCAGCAGUGGGGAAUAUUGCACAAUGGGCGCAAGCCUGAUGCAGCCAUGCCGCGUGUAUGAAGAAGGCCUUCGGGUUGUAAAGUACUUUCAGCGGGGAGGAAGGGAGUAAAGUUAAUACCUUUGCUCAUUGACGUUACCCGCAGAAGAAGCACCGGCUAACUCCGUGCCAGCAGCCGCGGUAAUACGGAGGGUGCAAGCGUUAAUCGGAAUUACUGGGCGUAAAGCGCACGCAGGCGGUUUGUUAAGUCAGAUGUGAAAUCCCCGGGCUCAACCUGGGAACUGCAUCUGAUACUGGCAAGCUUGAGUCUCGUAGAGGGGGGUAGAAUUCCAGGUGUAGCGGUGAAAUGCGUAGAGAUCUGGAGGAAUACCGGUGGC